RNAcentral lists this ribosomal RNA (440 nucleotides) under uncultured bacterium. Its description in RNAcentral is "partial 16S ribosomal RNA". It matches the Rfam family "Bacterial small subunit ribosomal RNA", at positions 338 to 795 of the family's 1533-position model. The record is from RNAcentral.
CCUACGGGUGGCUGCAGUGGGGAAUAUUGCGCAAUGGGCGAAAGCCUGACGCAGCAACGCCGCGUGAAUGAAGAAGUCUUUCGGUUGGUAAACUUCUUUUGUCAGGGACGAAGAUGACGGUACCUGCCGACGAAGCACCGGCUAACUACGUGCCAGCAGCCGCGGUAAUACGUAGGGGGCAAGCGUUGUCCGGAUUCAUUGGGUGUAAAGGGAGCGUAGGCGGUAGGACAAGUCUGGAGUUAAAUCCAGGGGCUUAACCUCUGAACGGCAUUGGAUACUGGUCGUCUUGAGUGCGGGAGAGGUAAACGGAAUUCCUGGUGUAGCGGUGAAAUGCGUAGAUAUUAGGAGGAACACCGGUGGCGAAGGCGGUUUACUGGACUGUAACUGACGCUGAGGCUCGAAAGCGAGGGGAGCAAAUAGGAUUAGAUACCCGAGUAGUC